GACGAACGCUGGCGGUGUGCCUAACACAUGCAAGUUGAGCGACAACGCUUUGUGCGUUCACCAAUUUGAAGAGCGGCUAACGGGCGAGUAACGCGUAGGUAAUCUUCCUUUUAUCCGGGGACAACAUCUUGGAACGAAUUCUAAUACCGCAUAACACCUUUAAACAUAAGUUGUAAGUUUGAAACAUGCAAUUGCAUCACUCAAAGAUGAUCUCGCGUUGUAUUAGCUAGCUGGUGAGGUAAAGGCUCACCAAGGCGAUGAUACAUAGCCGACCUGAGAGGGUGACAGGCCACAUUGGGACUGAGACACGGCCCAAAGUCCUACGGGAGGCAGCAGUAGGGAAUCUUCGGCAAUGGACGAAAGUCUGACCGAGCAACGCCGCGUGAGUGAAGAAGGUUUUCGGAUCGUAAAACUCUGUUGGUAGAGAAAAACGUUGGUGAGAGUGGAAAGCUCAUCAAGUGACGGUAACUACCCAGAAAGGCACGGCUAACUACGU
This 496-nucleotide ribosomal RNA is filed under the name uncultured bacterium. RNAcentral's name for it is "partial 16S ribosomal RNA". It matches the Rfam family "Bacterial small subunit ribosomal RNA", at positions 28 to 506 of the family's 1533-position model. The record is from RNAcentral.